Passer montanus (Eurasian tree sparrow) is the source of this 2677-nucleotide long non-coding RNA. RefSeq lists it as uncharacterized. The record is from RefSeq and is a predicted model, not a curated record. NCBI's taxonomy places the organism in Eukaryota, Metazoa, Chordata, Aves, Passeriformes, Passeridae. The transcript is spliced from 2 exons.
GUCAGGACAAAACAGAAUAACCGUGUGGCACAGCACAGCCCCCCGCCUCUCCUGGCAUCACCCAGGUGAACUUGACCUCCAGAGCAGGAAUUUGCUGUAGGCAGCUGAAGAACUGCCAUACUGCGCUUCCCAGGGAAAUCGGGAAUUUCUCUUUGCCAGCUCCCAGAAGUGAGGAGCAGCGAGGUCCUGAGAGGCCAUCAGUGUCCAGGUGAGCACUGAGCCCCCCAGCAUCACCCCCUUUUGGUUUGCACAGCCCCUGCAGCCCCUGAUGGCUCUCAGGGCCCCAACAGCCCCAUGGGAGGGAGGCAGGAAGCUCCUAUCCUGCUCACUUCAAGCUCCAACAUAAAAUAGUUGUGGGUGAUACAAAAUUUGUGUGGGUGAUAUAAAACUGUUUUUUGCUGUGUGUCAUUAAACUGUUCUUCUGUGUUUGGCUGUUACAGAGAGCUGGAAACAAGCAUUCCCAGUGUGAGGGCUGUCAGAUAACUCUCCCUGGAAGGUGCCUUAACCUCUGGAAAAAUUCUAAAGAAUCACAAUUUCUUCCACUACAUAAGAGGUACCCUUGUUACUGGUGUUUAUGGUCACCACUGGGGAAGGGUGUUGGGGGGCUGUGGGUGGGUUAUGUUUUGUUGUUGAGUGGAGUCACCUGUUGGUUAUUCCCUGGAGGCCAGGCCUGCCCAGGCUGCCUGAGGGGGAACAGGUGAGCACAUGGUCAUUAAAUAAGACAAUAAUGACCAAAACCAGGCACAGUUUCUGUGAGGGACAUGCCCUGCCCGGCUCCUGAGGGCUCGACCUGUCCCCAAGCAUUUCCUCGGGGAAGAGUGUUUCAUCAGCUCCCUAAGGAAACAGUAUUUUUAGAACCAUAUUGCAAUUCUCUCCCAAAGUGUAAAUACAAGUUUUUUAUUACAGGUAGGAGGGAGGAACAGCCUUGGAACCAGGCAUGGAGAGCACAGGAAUGUUCUGAACCCUCUCUGAAGGCUGGCACCAUUGGCACCCCCUCUGAAACUCCUGAGGGAUGGUUGUGUUUUGAACCAUAGACCUGCUUCCAGUGACUCCAUCCUGAGCUGUGCCUGGCCAGGCCACAACUCUUCAAUCCUCCCUUCACCUUCCUAGCCAGGUAAAUCCCAAACGUGCACAGAAUGCCCCAAAGUGCAGCCAGGGCCUUGGGUGAAGCUGCUCAUGGCUGAGCUGGCCUUCGGGUACAGGUGAGCAGGGACAGGUGGGGACAUGGCCACAGGUCAGUGUGGCAGCAGGAUGAGCCCUCAGCUGCUGUCUGAGGACAAAGACUCACCCUGGCUCUGGGCUGCACUUCCAAGGUGAGGUGUAACCCGUGCUUCUGCUUGAGCAGCUCUGGGUGUUUGAGUGACUGAGAGCAGGAGUGGAACAGCAGCAGCACAGCCCGAAGUGUGAGCCCCCUCAGCCUGCCUGCAGCCCUGCGUUUGCAUCUCAAAGACAGCCCUCACUUACCAGAUUGGUUCUUUGAGAAAAGUGACUGAGGGGAAAUAGCACAUUUUAAAAAGGUGGAAAGUGUGACUUAGCCUGUAAAGGCAUUUUCUGUGAAAAAUGGAGAGCUGUCAACUUUGGAUUAAAACAAAACCUGUGGUGCUAUUGGCUGGGGAGAAAAGUGUGGGGGAGGGAAGGCUUCUCGAGGGAGGUGUUGUGCUUGACAUUCCUGCAGUGAGGCAGAAUGGCAGAUGGUCAAAAUAAUAGUUUUCUCCAAAUGGACAAGCUGAAGCAGCUUAGAAGUAAAAAAUAAUUGCCAGGCGCGUAUCGCGGGAUGUAUUGCCGCGUGUGGAUCAUGGGAGGCAUUAUCUGGCACACACAGAGUUUUUAGUGUUCACAGAUCGCAGGAGGCAUUACUGGGGCCAUUACUGUACACACACUGUGGGCAUUAAUGUACGGGAGGGCAUUAUUGUGUUGUUUGUAGGAGGCAGAACUGCACCCUGGAGGCAGAACCACGUGCGGAGCGCAGGAGGCGCGCGCAGAGCAGAGGAGGCAGAACUGCACGCGGAUAUGGGAGCUGCAAGGCAAACAGAGCAUGGGAGGCAGAGCAGAGGAGGCGUGAGCUGAGCAUGGAGCACAGGAGAAUAGAAGAAUGCCCCCUGUAUUCCAGAGUGGCAGACAGGUGAUCCCUGCAGGUGCAGGACAGGUGGAUCUAUGCCUGGAGCAGGCCUGGCUGGAGAACAGCAGAGCUGCCAGGACUCAUCCAUCCAGCCUCUCUGCCGACUGCUGAGGGGAAUCUGAUGGAAAACACAUCCCCAUGGCCACAGCUGACACUGCCCCUGCUCAUCACUGACUAAACAUGCAGGAGAAUCAGCAGGUAAUGUGAGGAGACUCUCUGAAGUGGAGAUUCUGACACCAGAAGUCAUGGCCAGCCUCCAGUUCAUGAACGGGAAAUUAAUUCUGAGGUUCAGAAGUCUGAAAAUUGGGUCCUGAUUGGGGGAGGCUUUGUACUUAAAAGCAAUUAAAAUAAUUAAAUUGUACCCGGGUACUCUUGAUUUAACAGUGUUCUGAAAUCCUCAGCUACUGGGAAACAGUUUAAGUGUGUUUGGCAUACACAGCUUAUCCUUCAGAAAGUGGGGCUGCAGGCGGGUCUGCCCUGUCAAACCACAUGUGACACAACACCAUGUGCUAAGAACAACAUGAAAAUGAAACACAACUAUGCAAAACAGAGCAAAAG